GAAGAGCGGCCAGUUGCUGCUGCGAUCAAGACACGAUCGUUCAAAAGGGUGCAACUCCCCCCCCCUUGGAGGGUAUCCAAGACC
The sequence is a regulatory RNA element, 84 nucleotides long. It matches the Rfam family "Tymovirus/Pomovirus/Furovirus tRNA-like 3' UTR element". The record is from Rfam.